Molecule: long non-coding RNA, 278 nt
Filed under: Elaeis guineensis (African oil palm)
Lineage: Eukaryota; Viridiplantae; Streptophyta; Magnoliopsida; Arecales; Arecaceae
Description: long non-coding RNA (EGUI_LNC042824)
Source: RNAcentral
AUGAAUAGUUUUAAGGACUAAUCGAUAAAUCUUCUCUUUAUUGAACCUAAAUAGUCCUAAGAACUUCAUCAUAACAAUGGAGUUCAUUAGAAGAUGAAAAUUUAUAAUGAAAAUACCAAAAAUAUAUUUUAUUUAUUAUCAAAUCAAUUACAAUACACAGUUGCUCAACCGCCAACAGAUUGACGAUUGGCUUUUGGGAUAUUUUUUUCAACAGUAUGAUCGUAGUGAGCUCUCCCAAUCCAUCAGUGAUAUCUAGCAAUAUGUAGUGGCACGCCAGU